AAAGUAGAAGUUUAAAAAAUAUUUGACCUGCAAUCAAAAGAAGAUAAAAUUAAUUUAUCCUACUUUA
Molecule: transfer RNA, 67 nt
Filed under: Fistulobalanus albicostatus
Lineage: Eukaryota; Metazoa; Arthropoda; Thecostraca; Balanomorpha; Balanidae
Description: tRNA-Ala
Source: RNAcentral